This 312-nucleotide long non-coding RNA is filed under the name Pan troglodytes (chimpanzee). Its description in RNAcentral is "long non-coding RNA NONPTRT000918". The record is from RNAcentral. Lineage: Eukaryota; Metazoa; Chordata; Mammalia; Primates; Hominidae.
GGAAAGCUGGGCUAAGCCCUGGGGCACCCUGGGAGUCGUAGUUUUUCGCCGUCGAGGAGUUCCUGCCGAGCGGGCUCACCCCGCCCGGUUGCCAUUAGUUACCCGGACGCACCUCCCACCCCACCACCAGAAAAGGAAAGCUGAAGCAGAAAGGCUAAAAGCAACUUGCCCCCGGGGUCCUGAUAAGUUGGCAAAUUGGGAAUUAGACCCAGAUCUGCCUGACACCAGAGUCUGAGCCUUUGAACACUGCCUGUCUUUCCUGUGAAAACCAGACAGCACCCGCUCUCAGUAAGGACUGAAUAUAUGUAUUUG